This 694-nucleotide ribosomal RNA is filed under the name uncultured bacterium. RNAcentral describes it as "bacterial SSU rRNA". It matches the Rfam family "Bacterial small subunit ribosomal RNA", at positions 32 to 715 of the family's 1533-position model. The record is from RNAcentral.
AACGCUAGCUACAGGCUUAACACAUGCAAGUCGAGGGGCAGCAUGGUCUUAGCUUGCUAAGGCCGAUGGCGACCGGCGCACGGGUGAGUAACACGUAUCCAACCUGCCGUCUACUCUUGGACAGUCUUCUGAAAGGAAGAUUAAUACAAGAUGGCAUCAUGAGUCCGCAUGUUCACAUGAUUAAAGGUAUUCCGGUAGACGAUGGGGAUGCGUUCCAUUAGAUAGUAGGCGGGGUAACGGCCCACCUAGUCUUCGAUGGAUAGGGGUUCUGAGAGGAAGGUCCCCCACAUUGGAACUGAGACACGGUCCAAACUCCUACGGGAGGCAGUAGUGAGGAAUAUUGGUCAAUGGGCGAGAGCCUGAACCAGCCAAGUAGCGUGAAGGAUGACUGCCCUAUGGGUUGUAAACUUCUUUUAUAAAGGAAUAAAGUCGGGUAUGGAUACCCGUUUGCAUGUACUUUAUGAAUAAGGAUCGGCUAACUCCGUGCCAGCAGCCGCGGUAAUACGGAGGAUCCGAGCGUUAUCCGGAUUUAUUGGGUUUAAAGGGAGCGUAGAUGGAUGUUUAAGUCAGUUGUGAAAGUUUGCGGCUCAACCGUAAAAUUGCAGUUGAUACUGGAUAUCUUGAGUGCAGUUGAGGCAGGCGGAAUUCGUGGUGUAGCGGUGAAAUGCUUAGAUAUCACGAAGAACUCCGAUUG